Molecule: ribosomal RNA, 408 nt
Filed under: Elphidium sp. S3
Lineage: Eukaryota; Foraminifera; Rotaliida; Elphidiidae
Description: SSU rRNA
Rfam family: Eukaryotic small subunit ribosomal RNA
Source: RNAcentral
GACUCACGCGGGAAUCUUACCGGGUCCGGACACACUGAGGAUUGACAGGUUCCGAGAGUUUUUGCUUCGGCAAUGCUCUCUUAAAUAUGAUAGUCCUUUCAUGAUUAUGUGAUAGGUGGUGCAUGGCCGUUCUUAGUUCGUGGAGUGAUCUGUCUGCUUAAUUGCGUUUCACUAAAGGCGUCAUAUCUGUUUUGUUGCGUGUUUGACCCCUCUUCGGAGCGCGUGUCUUCACGCACAAUUACUUUGGCGUCUGAAAGCAACGAACGUGACCGUAACCUCUUGUUGCCUUCUCUUCUCCUCGGAGAAUGCUGUUUGUUUUUGCAGGCAGUAUAUGGAGGCUUUUUUACUCAACAACUAGAGGGACCGCUGUUUCUUUCUUUAAACCAGAGGAAGGAUACGGCAAUAACA